RNAcentral lists this ribosomal RNA (305 nucleotides) under uncultured bacterium. RNAcentral's name for it is "bacterial SSU rRNA". It matches the Rfam family "Bacterial small subunit ribosomal RNA", at positions 337 to 659 of the family's 1533-position model. The record is from RNAcentral.
CCCUACGGGGCGCAGCAGUGAGGGAUAUUGGUCAAUGGGGGAAACCCUGAACCAGCAACGCCGCGUGAGGGAAGACGGUUUUCGGAUUGUAAACCUCUGUCCUCUGUGAAGAUAAUGACGGUAGCAGAGGAGGAAGCUCCGGCUAACUACGUGCCAGCAGCCGCGGUAAUACGGAAGGUCCGGGCGUUAUCCGGAUUUAUUGGGUUUAAAGGGAGCGUAGGCCGGCUUUUAAGUCAGCUGUGAAAGUCCGCGGCUCAACCGUGGAAUUGCAGUUGAAACUGGAGGCCUUGAGUGCACACAGGGAG